CCCUUUUAUAAAUAUCCAUGCAUUAUUAAGAAAGUUACAAGAGGGGAAUUGGAGGUAUAAAAAUCUUUGUAUUGUGCUACCUUAAUUAAAUAAUAACAAACUGCAUCUUUUUCCGAUAUGUCACAGUUUGACGUCGCGGAAAUAACAAUAUACGUUAGCAACGUCAUUACCUGCCUUGUAACUGUAUCCUUUAAAUACGAAUGACACUAAAUGAUGUGUACUGCCAUUUUCUAGUUAUUAAGAUGUUGUUUUUAUGUUGCUUUGAAGUAUUUGAGAUUGCUUUUAUGUUAUUUGAAAGCGCA
Molecule: long non-coding RNA, 302 nt
Filed under: Mytilus galloprovincialis (Mediterranean mussel)
Lineage: Eukaryota; Metazoa; Mollusca; Bivalvia; Mytilida; Mytilidae
Source: RNAcentral